AUAAUGGGUCAGCGACUUAUAUUCUGUAGCAAGGUUAACCGAAUAGGGGAGCCGAAGGGAAACCGAGUCUUAACUGGGCGUUAAGUUGCAGGGUAUAGACCCGAAACCCGGUGAUCUAGCCAUGGGCAGGUUGAAGGUUGGGUAACACUAACUGGAGGACCGAACCGACUAAUGUUGAAAAAUUAGCGGAUGACUUGUGGCUGGGGGUGAAAGGCCAAUCAAACCGGGAGAUAGCUGGUUCUCCCCGAAAGCUAUUUAGGUAGCGCCUCGUGAAUUCAUCUCCGGGGGUAGAGCACUGUUUCGGCAAGGGGGUCAUCCCGACUUACCAACCCGAUGCAAACUGCGAAUACCGGAGAAUGUUAUCACGGGAGACACACGGCGGGUGCUAACGUCCGUCGUGAAGAGGGAAACAACCCAGACCGCCAGCUAAGGUCCCAAAGUCAUGGUUAAGUGGGAAACGAUGUGGGAAGGCCCAGACAGCCAGGAUGUUGGCUUAGAAGCAGCCAUCAUUUAAAGAAAGCGUAAUAGCUCACUGGUCGAGUCGGCCUGCGCGGAAGAUGUAACGGGGCUAAACCAUGCACCGAAGCUGCGGCAGCGACGCUGAUGCGUUGUUGGGUAGGGGAGCGUUCUGUAAGCCUGCGAAGGUGUGCUGUGAGGCAUGCUGGAGGUAUCAGAAGUGCGAAUGCUGACAUAAGUAACGAUAAAGCGGGUGAAAAGCCCGCUCGCCGGAAGACCAAGGGUUCCUGUCCAACGUUAAUCGGGGCAGGGUGAGUCGACCCCUAAGGCGAGGCCGAAAGGCGUAGUCGAUGGGAAACAGGUUAAUAUUCCUGUACUUGGUGUUACUGCGAAGGGGGGACGGAGAAGGCUAUGUUGGCCGGGCGACGGUUGUCCCGGUU
Molecule: ribosomal RNA, 896 nt
Filed under: Escherichia coli
Lineage: Bacteria; Pseudomonadati; Pseudomonadota; Gammaproteobacteria; Enterobacterales; Enterobacteriaceae
Description: partial 23S ribosomal RNA
Rfam family: Bacterial large subunit ribosomal RNA
Source: RNAcentral